This 63-nucleotide transfer RNA is filed under the name Atkinsoniella nigrita. RNAcentral's name for it is "tRNA-His". Lineage: Eukaryota; Metazoa; Arthropoda; Insecta; Hemiptera; Cicadellidae. The record is from RNAcentral.
AAUUUAAGUAGUUUAUUAAAAUAAAGAGUUGUGGUUUCUUAGAUGAUUUUUAUCCUUAAAUUU